This 493-nucleotide ribosomal RNA is filed under the name uncultured bacterium. Its description in RNAcentral is "partial 16S ribosomal RNA". It matches the Rfam family "Bacterial small subunit ribosomal RNA", at positions 29 to 523 of the family's 1533-position model. The record is from RNAcentral.
AUUGAACGCUGGCGGCAUGCUUUACACACGCAAGUCGAACGGUAACAGGUUAAGCUGACGAGUGGCGAACGGGUGAGUAAUGCAUCGGAACGUGCCCGAUCGUGGGGGAUAACGCAGCGAAAGCUGCGCUAAUACCGCAUACGAUCUGAGGAUGAAAGCGGGGGACCGUAAGGCCGCGCGCGAUCGGAGCGGCCGAUGGAAGAUUAGGUAGUUGGUGGGGUAAAGGCUCACCAAGCCAACGAUCUGUAGCUGGUCUGAGAGGACGACCAGCCACGCUGGGACUGAGACACGGCCCAGACUCCUACGGGAGGCAGCAGUGGGGAAUUUUGGACAAUGGGCGAAAGCCUGAUCCAGCAAUGCCGCGUGCAGGAAGAAGGCCUUCGGGUUGUAAACUGCUUUUGUACGGAGCGAAAAGGCCCUCUCUAAUACAGUGGGCUCAUGACGGUACCGUAAGAAUAAGCACCGGCUAACUACGUGCCAGCAGCCGCAGUAA